ACAUCCAGAGAACUUAGCAGAGAUGCUUUGGUGCCUUCGGGAACUCUGAGACAGGUGCUGCAUGGCUGUCGUCAGCUCGUGUUGUGAAAUGUUGGGUUAAGUCCCGNAACGAGCGCAACCCUUAUCCUUUGUUGCCAGCGGUUCGGCCGGGAACUCAAAGGAGACUGCCGGUGAUAAACCGGAGGAAGGUGGGGAUGACGUCAAGUCAUCAUGGCCCUUACGGCCAGGGCUACACACGUGCUACAAUGGCGCAUACAAGAGAAGCGACCUCGCGAGAGCAAGCGGACCUCAUAAAGUGCGUCGUAGUCCGGAUUGGAGUCUGCAACUCGACUCCAUGAAGUCGGAAUCGCUAGUAAUCGUAGAUCAGAAUGCUACGGUGAAUACGUUCCCGGGCCUUGUACACACCGCCCGUCACACCAUGGGAGUGGGUUGCAAAAGAAGUAGGUAGCUUAACCUUCGGGAGGGCGCUUACCACUUUGUGAUUCAUGACUGGGGUGAAGUCGUAACAAGGUAAGCGUAGCGAG
Molecule: ribosomal RNA, 524 nt
Filed under: uncultured bacterium
Lineage: Bacteria
Description: bacterial SSU rRNA
Rfam family: Bacterial small subunit ribosomal RNA
Source: RNAcentral